RNAcentral lists this ribosomal RNA (366 nucleotides) under uncultured eukaryote. RNAcentral describes it as "partial 18S ribosomal RNA". It matches the Rfam family "Eukaryotic small subunit ribosomal RNA", at positions 592 to 976 of the family's 1831-position model. The record is from RNAcentral.
CAAUAGCGUAUAUUAAAGUUGUUGCAGUUAAAAAGCUCGUAGUUGAAUUUCUGGCGGGCGCGCCGGUCUUCCAAGUGUUGUACUGGGCGCAGUCCGCCAUCCUUGUGGAGAGGGCUCGCAUUGAGUUGCGUGUCGGAUCUGCAUCAUUUACUGUGAAAAAAUUAGAGUGUUUAAAGCAGGCUGUCGCUUGAAUACAUUAGCAUGGAAUAAUAAGAUAGGACUUCGGUCUAUUUUGUUGGUUGCGAACCGAGGUAAUGAUUAAUAGGGAUAGUUGGGGGUAUUCAUAUUUAAUUGUCAGAGGUGAAAUUCUUGGAUUUAUGAAAGAGGAACAACUGCGAAAGCAUUUACCAAGGAUGUUUUCAUUAA